Molecule: ribosomal RNA, 1173 nt
Filed under: Bangia atropurpurea
Lineage: Eukaryota; Rhodophyta; Bangiophyceae; Bangiales; Bangiaceae
Description: bacterial SSU rRNA
Rfam family: Group I catalytic intron (bases 677-1033)
Source: RNAcentral
AACGCAUGCAUGCUUCAAGCCCUCGUUAAAAUAAAAUCGCGCCAGGUGUCGUUUGUGGCCACAUCAUGCACAAAGAGAGCGAGCACUUGAGCUGUGCUCUGUGUGUGUGUGUGUGUGUCGCGAGCCGGCAAAAUAUGGGAAACAAGAGCCCCCAUCAUACACUUCGAAAUUGUCGGGGAGUGCCCGUUAAGCUUUGACUACCGCGGUCCGCCGAGAGGUGAGGGCGAGCAAUCGCUCAGGACGCAGCAGUGUUACGUAGUGGUACACGGAUGGUAAAAACGUCAAAGAUAGGGUUGAUCCGCAGGGAAGCGCGAGUGCUCAUGUGUUUGUGUGUGAGCAAAGGCGAACCUUCAGAGACUCUAAUGAAGUGGGCGAAAGCUUAAGGGAGAGUCCAAUCCACGGGGAGACCCGGUCCACAGGAGUAAGGGGGCGCUGCUCACCCCCGAGGACUGUGGAUGAAGACAGACAGACACAGAAGAGUCUAUGUCUUCAGGUAGUCAAUGGAUUGGGACAACAGCAGACACACACACACACACCAAUGUGCGUGUGCGUGUGUGUGUGUGUGUGUGUGUGUGAUCCCUCUGUGGGAAAACGUACAUGAAGCCUUUGCGGCCCGAAAGGGUGCACAGUACGCGACUAUAAAUACUGAUUCUGUGGUUAACGCAAGCGGCGCUUCGCACCACGCUCUUGGCAAAAGAGGCAUGUGAUGAAGCCGCGACUUUCUCAAAUCGCGGGAACACCCUAAAGCCAGAAGAUACCGCGGUCCGUUGGACAACAAACAACGGGCGACAGCAGUCGGGGUAGUGCCCUGAUGGAUGGUAACAACUCUUCUGGAUCGCUCUCUCUCGCUCGCGCGCCGCUCUUAUUGGUGGCGCGCCAGCAGAAGGCAAUGGGCAAUCCGCAGCCAAGCUCCAUAGUCCCUUCCCCCCCCCCCCCAAGGGGAGAGAGACUGGAGAAGGUUCACAGACUGUAAGGGAAGGGGUCUUUUACAUAAAAGGCUUAAGAGACAGUCGGUCCCCUGCGAAAGCAGAGUCUCAUGUGAGGAAGGCACUCAUGAAAAGUGAGAGCUGGAGAGCACUGAGAAUCUAGAGAACGCCACUCUUUGAGUGGGCGGGACUCUCUAGGUGGGGAGUUUUCUCAAUGAAAAAAGAUAAGACUAUACAACGUUCCGUA